This 547-nucleotide ribosomal RNA is filed under the name uncultured bacterium. RNAcentral describes it as "bacterial SSU rRNA". It matches the Rfam family "Bacterial small subunit ribosomal RNA", at positions 358 to 916 of the family's 1533-position model. The record is from RNAcentral.
GGAAUAUUGGGCAAUGGGCGAAAGCCUGACCCAGCGACGCCGCGUGAGGGAUGAAGGUCUUCGGAUUGUAAACCUCUUUCAGUAGGGAAGAAGCGAAAGUGACGGUACCUAAAGAAGAAGCACCGGCUAACUAUGUGCCAGCAGCCGCGGUAAUACAUAGGGUGCAAGCGUUGUCCGGAAUUAUUGGGCGUAAAGAGCUCGUAGGUCGUUUGUCGCGUCGAUUGUGAAAAUCUGAGGCUCAACCUCAGACCUGCAGUCGAUACGGGCAAACUAGAGUGUGGUAGGGGAGACUGGAAUUCCUGGUGUAGCGGUGGAAUGCGCAGAUAUCAGGAGGAACACCAAUGGCGAAGGCAGGUCUCUGGGCCAUAACUGACACUGAGGAGCGAAAGUGCGGGGAGCGAACAGGAUUAGAUACCCUGGUAGUCCGCACCGUAAACGGUGGGCACUAGUUGUGGGAACCUUCCACGGUUUCCGCGACGCAGCAAACGCAUUAAGUGCCCCGCCUGGGGAGUACGAUCGCAAGAUUAAAACUCAAAUGAAUUGACGG